AUUGAACGCUGGCGGCAUGCUUUACACAUGCAAGUCGAACGGUAACAGGUUAAGCUGACGAGUGGCGAACGGGUGAGUAAUGCAUCGGAACGUGCCCGGUCGUGGGGGAUAACGCAGCGAAAGCUGCGCUAAUACCGCAUACGAACUGAGGAUGAAAGCGGGGGACCGGAGGGCCUCGCGCGAUCGGACCGGCCGAUGCCAGAUUAGGUAGUUGGGGGGGUAAAGGCUCACCAAGCCGACGAUCUGUAGCUGGUCUGAGAGGACGACCAGCCACACUGGGACUGAGACACGGCCCAGACUCCUACGGGAGGCAGCAGUGGGGAGUUUUGGACAAUGGGCGCAAGCCUGAUCCAGCAAUGCCGCGUGCAGGAAGAAGGCCUUCGGGUUGUAAACUGCUUUUGUACGGAGCGAAAAGGCUCUCUCUAAUACAGGGGGCUCAUGACGGUACCGUAAGAAUAAGCACCGGCUAACUACGUGCCAGCCGCCGCGGUAA
RNAcentral lists this ribosomal RNA (493 nucleotides) under uncultured bacterium. Its description in RNAcentral is "partial 16S ribosomal RNA". It matches the Rfam family "Bacterial small subunit ribosomal RNA", at positions 29 to 523 of the family's 1533-position model. The record is from RNAcentral.